AAGGCUUUAAGUUAUUAUAAACUAGUAUCCUUCAAAGUUAAAAAUAAAGAGAACUUUUCUUUAAGCCUUA
RNAcentral lists this transfer RNA (70 nucleotides) under Leptomantella tonkinae. Its description in RNAcentral is "tRNA-Trp". Lineage: Eukaryota; Metazoa; Arthropoda; Insecta; Mantodea; Leptomantellidae. The record is from RNAcentral.